CUUCUAGAGCCAACCGUCCUCUCCAGACCAUGCUCUGGGUGCCUGGGCUUCAGAAUUCCCGCACCAGCUGCUUUCUGGGUCUAUCCCAGCUGCUGGCAUGUGAGAUGGCCAGAGGGCAUUUCUACAGGGCAUAUGCGAGGAGCUUGGCAGUAAGGCUGAAAAUGGCAAGGAGGUGUGAAGCAGAGGGAUCCAGGCCCUUCACUUGCACUCUUGUCUUGGAGCCUGGCACGUCAGCGCCAGGACGGCUUGGACCUGAGCCUUCAGGUGCCCUGGAUCUCCCUCCUGGGCUGCAGGAAGGACUUGAGAACUUGAGUUGCCAUUGCAGACACUCGCCAGCAGGUGGCAGCACAGGAGCAGAUUACAGGAGGUCCAGAGUUGUGUGAGUCUAUGAAGCUCUGGGAGCUCCAGUUGGAACAGUCCUAUUUUGAAGAUGAAGAAAACAAGACUCAGAGGCAAAGAGGCUUCUUGCAAGACAGAAAGUCAGGACUAACACAAGCAGAGCUCCAGGGCCCUGGUCUGUGUUUCCCCUGGGAUUCUCAAGGACCUACCACACCCCCUCCCCGCCCUGCCCCUUCUCUUUAACCGUUAUCCACUCGAGCUGGUGCCUCUUAGUUGUUUACAUCUGUAGUCUCCACCUCCUCACUGCCCGUUUACUCCAGAACUCACUGCAGAGGACUGGAUUUCUUUUUAUUCCUUGCUCAGCGCAUAGCAACAUUUCUCCUUCCUUGGGGACACAGCUGCUGUACCUUCUCCGGGAAGCCCCACCUCCUUCCCAGCAUGCACUGCGUUAGGUCCCGCCACAGGCGCCACAGUUUCUACCCACUCCCAGAGUGCACUGCGUUAGGUCCACAUGUAGGCUCCACAGCCUCCUCUACCUACCUCACCAGAGCUCACUGAUUUGAAGUCACCUGAGCAAGUGUCCACAAAACCGUGAGCUCCUUGAAGGCAGUCAACACCUUGUCCAUGUUCUGGAUGCACGCAACAGGUAUCAUCAUCCUUGCCGAGGGUAGACCCCUGACAAAUGUGUGCUGCCAAAAUUGUUCACACCUGACCUCCUUUAUAUGUGCUCUCUCACGACCCUCGGUUCACCUCUCUGUGGGGCACUACAAUUCUCUGCAUUCCACAAAUAAGGAAACUGUGGUGCCGAAAGUGAAGACACUGGCCCAAAAUGGCCCGGGGAGAGAAGGAGGACGUACCAGCUCACUGAAGAAAUCAUCAGGGCUCCUACUCAUGAAGUCCAUCCUGCAAGUGAGGACAACCCCUGAAUCUGGCUCCAAAGAGGUGGUGCUCCCCACAUAGCUCUCCAUAGCAUGGUCACUGACAAAAGGCUGAAUUGAGCAGGCAAAGGCACAGAACUCCCUUCUGCCCACGGCUCUCCCUCCAGUCACCUUUGUGGAGCACAAUGAGCUUUUUGUCCAACCCAUUCAUCUUACUGAUGGGGUCACUGGCCUACCCUCCAAGGAACUUGCCAUGGAGCUGGAAGGCGCAAGCCCUGAGCCUGCAUCUUGGCCCUUCUCUGGCUCCAAGCACAACACCCCAACUCUGUUUCUUUAUCUGGACAGCAAGUUCCUGAGAACCAUCCCACCUGGAGAAUUUCUACAUGCCAUGUUUUAUGUGAAGCACUCUAAUCAUUUUUUUAAGCUAUGCAUCAAGCAGCUAUAUUAUCUCAUUUAAUUUCCUGUUAUUCUCCCCAUCUGAGUCUGAGGACAUCUGGGUUCAGAGAGGGAAAGUUGAUUCAGCUGGUCACACAGUCAGUGAGCAAUGGAGUCGAGAUUGGACUCUGGCCAGCAGAUGUUGGGUCCUCCUGGGCUGCUACCCACUUCAAUUCUCAAAGGGAUACAACUCACAGAUGUGGUGGACUUUAGUGGGAAAAGGCUUCCCUCACCCCCUGCCCACACCUCACAAAUGAAAAGUAAUCCUGGAUGGGGCUGCUGGGAGGAGGUCUCCAUGUGGCCAGAAGGGGCGGGCUGCUGCUGUGUCCUGGGGGAGAAGGUCAGGCAGCAGGAAGUCAGGCGGACAGGGAGCAGGGUGCUGACCGUAGCUCUGCAGGCGGGAGGCUGCUCUGGACGCCCUUCCAGGGCAAGACCAGCGUCAGCGAGGCCUCAGGCCUCAGAGGGAGCGGUCUGGAGCUCAAGGAGCCAAACUUUCCAUGAGCCAUUAGCAAAAAAUGAGCCUGGAGAACAGUGUCCACCGCAGACCCAGAGACUCAGCAACCCUGGGUCACGUGGAAUUCAGAGGGGCUGGGACUGUCUUAACUCUUCCCUGGCUGUCCCCAGAGCCACCAAGAAACUGCUUUCAGAUUGAUGCUACGCCCAUCGUGGAAAGCUGUGAAGUGGCAGUGUGGGUCCCCCAGGCCACACAGCCAAGACAGGCAAAGCUGGAAAUGACCCCACGCCUACAUGGCUGAGCAGUGCACCCAUUCCUCCCAUAGUGCCCUGCUGCUGCCCCAAGCACUCGGCUCCAAGGAGUGUGAAAAACAAAAAAAGAGUCUUCAUAAGUCCAUGAAAUGAUUUGUCUCAAAAGACCAUGAGUUGCCCUGUGCAGGCUGGCCUGGGCUGUCAGAGCUCGUUGGAAAUAGGGCUGAGUCAGCCCCCAUGAAGACUCCAGGAGUCCAUACCUGGGUGCUGAAAAGUGUAUAGAGGUGGGCCCUAAAAGGAUGGGCAGGAUUCCAAUGGGUAGAUGGAGGAGGCACUAGGUCAGGGAGCCUGGACCUACAGAGGGAACCAUGCAGAGAUGAACUUGGCUGGGGUGGUGAAGGGGAAUGCACGGGGAAGGCCUACUGAGGAUCAAACACCAAGAUAACCAGUGUGAGCCCCAGUGUUACCUGUUGACCCUCACUUGACCUUGGGAAUAUGGCUGCUCUAAUGUGUGGCCAGAAGCCUCUCUCUCCUCUGC
This is a long non-coding RNA of Bos taurus (domestic cattle), 2895 nucleotides long. The record is from Ensembl. NCBI's taxonomy places the organism in Eukaryota, Metazoa, Chordata, Mammalia, Artiodactyla, Bovidae.